GCCCCCAAUGAGGAAGUUUAUGAAAAAUAAAACGUUAAAAGUAGUGAACUGAUUACUUUAUAUAUUGAUGAUUAUUCUUUUCUGAGGGGGA
This is a small nucleolar RNA of Erigeron canadensis, 91 nucleotides long. RefSeq annotates it as small nucleolar RNA R21. The record is from RefSeq and is a predicted model, not a curated record. NCBI's taxonomy places the organism in Eukaryota, Viridiplantae, Streptophyta, Magnoliopsida, Asterales, Asteraceae. The transcript has a single exon.